Long non-coding RNA from Symphalangus syndactylus (siamang), 1362 nucleotides. RefSeq lists it as uncharacterized. The record is from RefSeq and is a predicted model, not a curated record. NCBI's taxonomy places the organism in Eukaryota, Metazoa, Chordata, Mammalia, Primates, Hylobatidae.
GGCAGCACGCGAGCCAGAGUCACGACAAGCCCGGGUCCCAGGCUCGCUGCUGCCUCAAAUCUCAUCCGGUCCCACAGCCAGCUGCCCUGCGGAGAGAAGCCGCCGACCGGCAUAUCUCUGGGAGGGCGAGGCUGGGAGAAAGGCAUUGAGCUAAAGAUGAGAAGAAGCAUUCCCUGGAGCCUGCAUGGCAUCAAUCAUGAGAAUGGAUGUUGAGGGUUAUGCACCCCACUGAGGCAGCACUGAAUGCCAGAUCCCAAGUUACAGAGGGUACUCACUGGGUGCUCCGACUGUGUCAGGAGCAGGGAUGAUCUACCCCAGCUGAAGAUACUUAAAACGAUGUGAACAAAUUCUUGAAGACAAUUGCAGGAGGUAAAUUAGAAAGACGAAAAUAAUACCUUAAAGAAAGCAUCUGUAGUCUCCCAAGAUAGGGAUCUGGAUGCUCAGAUGCCACAGGGACCCAUUUCUUCCUUCCCAAAUCCAGGCCAACGGACAACAGCUGGCUGGGCUCAGGAGCAAUCUUACUUCCUUUAAUGCUCCAGAAAGGACCUUGGCUUAGGACAUGAAUCCAGUGACCUGAGGUCAGCAGUUUCUAUCUGAACCCAAGCCAGGUUGACCUGGGGCCUGGGCAGAUUACUGGGAUAACCAGGUGACAAGACCUACGCAAUUUGGGGGGCCCUAUGCAAAAUGAAAAUGUGGGGUCCCUGGUUUAAAAAAUCAUGAAGAAUUUUAAGAUGGCAACAGCAGGGCAUUGAACCAAGUGCUGGGUGCUUCUGAGAACAGAGCCCUGUGUGACUGCACAGGUCUCAUGGCGAUGAAGACAGCCCUGCCAGGCAAGGAAAAGAUCCUGAUGUCCAGGCCACUCCCAGACCAAUGAAAUCAGUCUCUGAGGGUGGAGUUCACGCAUCAGUGCAUGGCCCUGGUGAUGACUAAGUGCAGCCAAGUUGCGGUUUAUUAUGAGGCAGUUCAUAGAUGCUGCUGCUGCUGCUAGCAUUUCAUCUGCUGAGAACCAUACUCAGUAGAAACAGCCGUCCAAGAUACAGCCCUGCGGGGCUUUGAGUGUUAACGUUGGGUGCAUAGUGAUGAGGCUUUUUUAAAGCCUUGAAACGGGGCCAACUGGUAUUACCUAAGGAACAUUUCCUGGCAAAUAGAAAAAGCUCUCUUGGUCUUUAAAGUUCAUGACAGAUUCCCUAAGUGUUUGUAAAACAUCUGCCAACCACACUGGUGGGCUCUCACACAAAGGUUUUGGAAAUACAGACUGAUUUCCUUUGGUUACUACAACUGAUUUUUUUUUUUUUUUGGUUACUACAAUUGAUUUUAUCUCUAUAAUUUUCUUCUCUGUCAUCUUAUUUUAAACAAAUAAAA